RNAcentral lists this ribosomal RNA (253 nucleotides) under uncultured bacterium. Its description in RNAcentral is "partial 16S ribosomal RNA". It matches the Rfam family "Bacterial small subunit ribosomal RNA", at positions 524 to 776 of the family's 1533-position model. The record is from RNAcentral.
UACGUAGGGGGCUAGCGUUGUCCGGAAUCAUUGGGCGUAAAGGGUGCGUAGGCGGUCGCGCAAGUCGGAUGUGAAAUCUCAGGGCUCAACCCUGAAACUGCAUUCGAUACUGCGUGGCUAGAGUGCUGGAGAGGAGACUGGAAUUUACGGUGUAGCAGUGAAAUGCGUAGAUAUCGUAAGGAAGACCAGUGGCGAAGGCGAGUCUCUGGACAGCAACUGACGCUGAGGCACGAAGGCCAGGGGAGCAAACGGG